CCUACGGGGGGCAGCAGUGGGGAAUAUUGCACAAUGGGGGAAACCCUGAUGCAGCGACGCCGCGUGAGUGAAGAAGUAUUUCGGUAUGUAAAGCUCUAUCAGCAGGGAAGAAAAUGACGGUACCUGAUUAAGAAGCCCCGGCUAACUACGUGCCAGCAGCCGCGGUCAUCCGUAGGGGGCAAGCGUUAUCCGGAUUUACUGGGUGUAAAGGGGGCGUAGACGGCAGCACAAGUCUGGAGUGAAAUGCCGGGGCUUAACCCCGGAACUGCCUUGGAAACUGUGCAGCUAGAGUGCAGGAGAGGUAAGUGGAAUGCGUAGUGUAGCGGUGAAAUGCGUAGAUAUUAGGAGGAACACCGGUGGCGAAGGCGGCUUACUGGACUGUAACUGACGUUGAGGCUCGAAAGCGUGGGGAGCAAACAGGAUUAGAUACCCCUGUAGUC
RNAcentral lists this ribosomal RNA (440 nucleotides) under uncultured bacterium. RNAcentral's name for it is "partial 16S ribosomal RNA". It matches the Rfam family "Bacterial small subunit ribosomal RNA", at positions 338 to 795 of the family's 1533-position model. The record is from RNAcentral.